Molecule: non-coding RNA, 83 nt
Organism: Spironucleus salmonicida
Lineage: Eukaryota; Fornicata; Diplomonadida; Hexamitidae
Source: Rfam
GCAUUUUUGGCCGAGUGGUUAAGGCGUAACGUUAAGGCCGUUAUGGGACUUAUCCCGCGUGGGUUCGAGCCCCACAGAAUGCA